UCUGAAUUAGCUCAGUCGGUAGAGCGCCAGUCUGUUAAACUGUGGGUCCCGAGUUCAAGUCUCGGAUUCAGAGCCA
RNAcentral lists this transfer RNA (76 nucleotides) under Bacteriophage sp. Its description in RNAcentral is "tRNA-Asn". It matches the Rfam family "tRNA". Rfam says of the family: Transfer RNA (tRNA) molecules are approximately 80 nucleotides in length. Their secondary structure includes four short double-helical elements and three loops (D, anti-codon, and T loops). Further hydrogen bonds mediate the characteristic L-shaped molecular structure. tRNAs have two regions of fundamental functional importance: the anti-codon, which is responsible for specific mRNA codon recognition, and the 3' end, to which the tRNAs corresponding amino acid is attached (by aminoacyl-tRNA synthetases). tRNAs cope with the degeneracy of the genetic code in two manners: having more than one tRNA (with a specific anti-codon) for a particular amino acid; and 'wobble' base-pairing, i.e. permitting non-standard base-pairing at the 3rd anti-codon position. The record is from RNAcentral.